RNAcentral lists this ribosomal RNA (493 nucleotides) under uncultured bacterium. RNAcentral describes it as "partial 16S ribosomal RNA". It matches the Rfam family "Bacterial small subunit ribosomal RNA", at positions 28 to 507 of the family's 1533-position model. The record is from RNAcentral.
GACGAACGCUGGCGGCGUGCCUAAUACAUGCAAGUAGAACGCUGAAGGAGGAGCUUGCUUCUCUGGAUGAGUUGCGAACGGGUGAGUAACGCGUAGGUAACCUGCCUGGUAGCGGGGGAUAACUAUUGGAAACGAUAGCUAAUACCGCAUAAGAGUAGAUGUUGCAUGACAUUUGCUUAAAAGGUGCAAUUGCAUCACUACCAGAUGGACCUGCGUUGUAUUAGCUAGUUGGUGGGGUAACGGCUUACCAAGGCGACGAUACAUAGCCGACCUGAGAGGGUGAUCGGCCACACUGGGACUGAGACACGGCCCAGACUCCUACGGGAGGCAGCAGUAGGGAAUCUUCGGCAAUGGACGGAAGUCUGACCGAGCAACGCCGCGUGAGUGAAGAAGGUUUUCGGAUCGUAAAGCUCUGUUGUAAGAGAAGAACGAGUGUGAGAGUGGAAAGUUCACUGUGACGGUAUCUUACCAGAAAGGGACGGCUAACUACGUG